Passer domesticus (house sparrow) is the source of this 1080-nucleotide long non-coding RNA. RefSeq lists it as uncharacterized. The transcript is spliced from 4 exons. Lineage: Eukaryota; Metazoa; Chordata; Aves; Passeriformes; Passeridae. The record is from RefSeq and is a predicted model, not a curated record.
UAUUUACUUCAUAAGAUUUAUAAGAGCCUUUUAAAUUGUUUUUCAGGAUUUAGGAUAGCAUCUGCUUAUUUCUAAUUGUUAUAGUUUUAUUUCUUUGACAUUUUAGCUCUAAAGUUGUAAUUAGUCUGUACACUUCUCUUUCUUUCAGCUAUACUUGGCUUUUUUCCUUUAUUUUAAUUUGAUCCUUAUUAAAUAUCUAAUGGCUUUUGUUAUAUCCUAUCUGAUUUAAUGUUACUUUUAGUGUUUCUUGGAACUUAAAUCUGGUUUGUAUCUUAUAUACUUAAUUUUUUUCCGAUUUUUCACGAAUCAUAUUAUUGUUCUAAUAUAUUAUUUACAGUGUUUCAUUAGCUUUUACUUCUAUUUCUUUAGUCUGUUAUAACAAAAGCACUAAAAUAUUUUAUUUUUUGAAAUAAAUUUGCAUAUCACACCUUAAAUAUUCAGUUCACUUAAAACAAUCUCAUGAAUAAUACAGUUUAAAUUAAAAUAUUUUACUUCUCCUAACAACGGGUUUUACAGCUUACAAGCUUAGGUAUUAACAUGCAUCAGUCUAUUUUACUUCAAGGAGUAGUGGUGACUUUUUUAGUGAGGUUUGGCUGGUGUUUCUGUUGGUGGAUUUACAGGUCUUCUGUCCUGCCUUUCUUUGCAGCUGAACCUGCUGGUGAAGGUGGUGCAGCUUCCCAAGCCACGUCAAGGACUGAGGCUGUGGGAGAUGCUGAGGGUGUGUCUGCAGGGAGGACUUCUCCAGCUCCUUUGCUGAUUCUUACACGGAAGCCUGCCUCCCAUCGCAGGGGUCCUCCGAGGGGAAAGAACAAAGCUACAGGACACCAGAAACCCCAUGAUCCAUUCGAAAACAUGAGGCAAAUGCUGAAGGAAAUGCAGCAGGCAGGACAAGUAGAUGGAGAGGCUGGGCAUAAGGCGGCGUUUCCCAGAGGAAGCAGGUGCUCCAUUCCAGACUCUGGUGCAGGAAGGGAGAUGAUGCCACGCACAGGCAGAGGAGGUAAUUGCUGUGCCUCUGGGCCUGAGCCCUGCUGAGGCUUGAGCUGCCCUCUCUGCUGUUUGGCAGUGCAGGCACAGCCUGGA